GAUGAACGCUGGCGGCGUGCCUAAUACAUGCAAGUCGAGCGAACAGACGAGGAGCUUGCUCCUCUGACGUUAGCGGCGGACGGGUGAGUAACACGUGGAUAACCUACCUAUAAGACUGGGAUGACUUCGGGAAACCGGAGCUAAUACCGGAUAACAUGUUGAACCGCAUGGUUCAACAGUGAAAGACGGUUUUGCUGUCACUUAUAGAUGGAUCCGCGCCGCAUUAGCUAGUUGGUAAGGUAACGGCUUACCAAGGCAACGAUGCGUAGCCGACCUGAGAGGGUGAUCGGCCACACUGGAACUGAGACACGGUCCAGACUCCUACGGGAGGCAGCAGUAGGGAAUCUUCCGCAAUGGGCGAAAGCCUGACGGAGCAACGCCGCGUGAGUGAAGAAGGUCUUCGGAUCGUAAAACUCUGUUAUUAGGGAAGAACAAAUGUGUAAGUAACUAUGCACGUCUUGACGGUACCUAAUCAGAAAGCCACGGCUAACUACGUG
RNAcentral lists this ribosomal RNA (497 nucleotides) under uncultured bacterium. RNAcentral describes it as "partial 16S ribosomal RNA". It matches the Rfam family "Bacterial small subunit ribosomal RNA", at positions 28 to 507 of the family's 1533-position model. The record is from RNAcentral.